Molecule: long non-coding RNA, 417 nt
Organism: Drosophila nasuta
Lineage: Eukaryota; Metazoa; Arthropoda; Insecta; Diptera; Drosophilidae
Exons: 2
Source: RefSeq, a predicted model, not a curated record
AUCAUGCUAUCUUUGAAAUAUCAAUCACUCGUUUUCUGACCUUAGUGUUCAUGUUAUUUUACAACCUCAGUCUUACAUUCUCGCCACUAGCAGAAACAUAUAAUUUUUUCCAAAUUCCAACUUCAAAAUGUUUAUCGGUCCGGUACAAAAAGAACACUUGCAUAUGAUGAUCCUUGGCUGUGGUUGGCCUUGUGGAUCGUUGAGCGGACCCUGCGAUGGCUGCUGCGGAGGUUGUGGCGGUUGUGGUGGCUGCUGUUAAGGAUUUGUCUCGGGGAAAGUAAUUCAACUACAUUUCCUGGAACACUUUCUUUGAUGCUAUUGUAUCGCGACCAUAGACGAUAGCAACCAUUCUUAUAAUCAUAUAAUUAAUUCCUAAAAACCAUGCUAAAAUAAACAGUUUGAAGUAAGACAAAAACA